RNAcentral lists this ribosomal RNA (253 nucleotides) under uncultured bacterium. RNAcentral describes it as "partial 16S ribosomal RNA". It matches the Rfam family "Bacterial small subunit ribosomal RNA", at positions 524 to 776 of the family's 1533-position model. The record is from RNAcentral.
UACGUAGGUGACCAGCGUUGUCCGGAUUUACUGGGCGUAAAGAGCGCGCAGGCGGUCGUUCAAGUCGAGUGUGAAAGCCCCCGGCUCAACUGGGGAGGGUCACUUGAUACUGAUCGACUCGAAGGCAGGAGAGGGAAGCGGAAUUCCCGGUGUAGUGGUGAAAUGCGUAGAUAUCGGGAGGAACACCAGUGGCGAAGGCGACUACCUGGCCUGUUCUUGACGCUGAGGCGCGAAAGCUAGGGGAGCAAACGGG